GCUUCGCUCCUACUACUCUACUAGUCGUUACUGCCACGACCGCAAACAAACGCGCCGAGCUCCCGGAGCCGGAGCAAACCGGCGCCCGGAACGGCUCCUCCCGCUAAGGCAUUUGUUCGAACACCUUGCGGGCGUGGACUGCGGGGGCGACCCCCUCGUCCCCGCCUUUGGCGUUCCGUCGAACAGGCGGGCGGGGGUGGGCGGCGUGAGUUGGGGCAGUCUCGUGCCCGGUCGGCAUCGAUCUGUGGACCCAUCCUCGCCGGCCGCCGGGGUCGUCGUCGACUGGUCCGCCGCCUUGAUGAGCAAUCGCUGCAGUAAACAAAAGACCCAAUUCGCGUCGUCGUCGUUGUCUCGUCUCGUCACAGGGCUGAGUGGUGGGUGGGGCUCCACGAGGCACGGCCGCAUGGGGUAGGCUCCACUACUCCAGUACUCCGUACUUGGUGAGCUCACCGCAUACUCCCUCCAUCGAAAAAGAAAAUCCAACAUAGAUACUCUGUUUACAUUCUAAUAAUACCUUCGUAAAAAAUAUAGCAACUUAGAAUG
RNAcentral lists this small RNA (543 nucleotides) under Oryza sativa Japonica Group (Japanese rice). RNAcentral's name for it is "sRNA Os06g0292600". Lineage: Eukaryota; Viridiplantae; Streptophyta; Magnoliopsida; Poales; Poaceae. The record is from RNAcentral.